UACGUAGGGUGCAAGCGCUGUCCGGAAUUAUUGGGCGUAAAGAGCUCGUAGGCGGUUUGUCGCGUCGAAUGUGAAAACCCGGGGCUCAACCCCGGGCCUGCAUUCGAUACGGGCAGACUAGAGUUCGGUAGGGGAGUCUGGAAUUCCUGGUGUAGCGGUGAAAUGCGCAGAUAUCAGGAGGAACACCGGUGGCGAAGGCGGCCUGCUGGGCAGUUGCUGACACUGAGGCGCGACAGCGUGGGGAGCAAACAGG
RNAcentral lists this ribosomal RNA (253 nucleotides) under uncultured bacterium. RNAcentral describes it as "partial 16S ribosomal RNA". It matches the Rfam family "Bacterial small subunit ribosomal RNA", at positions 524 to 776 of the family's 1533-position model. The record is from RNAcentral.